Long non-coding RNA from Suricata suricatta (meerkat), 660 nucleotides. RefSeq lists it as uncharacterized. The record is from RefSeq and is a predicted model, not a curated record. NCBI's taxonomy places the organism in Eukaryota, Metazoa, Chordata, Mammalia, Carnivora, Herpestidae. The transcript is spliced from 4 exons.
GCUUCUAGAGAUCACAUACGUCAGUAUGCCAGCAGGCAGCUCAGAGUGAGGUAUUCUGUAUCAGGCUCAUAUCAUCUUUUUCUUUAUGAGAUUUGCCGCUUACUCAGCCCCAACAGAGGAUUUGCUUAUUUGCUGUUCUUUUUGGCUCCCAAGGAAAACAUUAUAAGGUGCCCUAGAAGAAAUGAAACCAACCCCUCCAUCUUCCCCUUUCUUUGACAGACUGGACCUGCUGUCUCCUGGUACAUACGUCUUUUUGAAAGUUCCUAAAAGAAGAACUCUAAGCUCCUGAAAUGCUCACAGAUGGACUAACUAGCAUUUCACAAUCCUGGGCUCCAGAAGUGACAGGAACCACACCCAGGUGACUAUGGGAACCUCAAGCCAUACGGCUCUUCUGGUGAAGAUGGGAAAUGAAACCCAGAUUAUUCACAGCCACCUGCAGAUUCACAAACGUUGGAGACACCCACAUGCAGAAACCAGCCACCUUGUUUCUGUCAUGUGCUCAUACUCCCUAGGGAGCUUAAAAAAAAUCCUUUCUCUUAGGCAGCCAUCUGCUAAGUCAUUACUUUGCCUCAUCAAUAGGUCUCUCUGGAUUAUUAGGGUUUUUAUUCUCAUGCUUGGCCAUAUUGGCAAAAUUAGGAAUAAAUCAUUUUCCCCAUCUCA